This 1006-nucleotide ribosomal RNA is filed under the name Paenibacillus sp. TSBF 828. Its description in RNAcentral is "bacterial SSU rRNA". It matches the Rfam family "Bacterial small subunit ribosomal RNA", at positions 492 to 1506 of the family's 1533-position model. Lineage: Bacteria; Bacillati; Bacillota; Bacilli; Caryophanales; Paenibacillaceae. The record is from RNAcentral.
CGCGCCUAACUACCUUGCAGCAGCCGGUAUACGUAGGGCAGCGUGUCGAUAUUGGGCGUAAGGCGCGCGGGCAAGGCGGUCAUUUAGUCUGGUGUUUAUUCCCGGGGCUCCACCCCGGAUCGCACUGGAAACUGGGUGACUUGAGUGCAGCAGAGGAGGAGGUGGAAUUUCCACGUGUAGCGUGGAAAUGCGUAGAUAUGUGGGAGGACACCAGUGGGCGGAAGGCGGACUCUCUGGGCUGUAACUGACGCUGAGGCGCGAAAGCGUGGGGGAGCAAACAGGGAUUAGAUACCUGGUAGUCACGCCGUAAACGAUGAGUGCUAGGUGUUAGGGGUUUCGAUACCCUUGGUGCCGAAGUUAACACAUUAAGCACUCCGCCUGGGGAGUACGGUCGCAAGACUGAAACUCAAAGGAAUUGACGGGGACCCGCACAAGCAGUGGAGUAUGUGGUUUAAUUCGAAGCAACGCGAAGAACCUUACCAGGUCUUGACAUCCCUCUGACCGGUACAGAGAUGUACCUUUCCUUCGGGACAGAGGAGACAGGUGGUGCAUGGUUGUCGUCAGCUCGUGUCGUGAGAUGUUGGGUUAAGUCCCGCAACGAGCGCAACCCUUGAUCUUAGUUGCCAGCACUUCGGGUGGGCACUCUAAGGUGACUGCCGGUGACAAACCGGAGGAAGGUGGGGAUGACGUCAAAUCAUCAUGCCCCUUAUGACCUGGGCUACACACGUACUACAAUGGCCGGUACAACGGGCCGCGAAGCCGCGAGGUGGAGCUAAUCCUAAAAAGCCGGUCUCAGUUCGGAUUGCAGGCUGCAACUCGCCUGCAUGAAGUCGGAAUUGCUAGUAAUCGCGGAUCAGCAUGCCGCGGUGAAUACGUUCCCGGGUCUUGUACACACCGCCCGUCACACCACGAGAGUUUAUAACACCCGAAGUCGGUGGGGUAACCGCAAGGAGCCAGCCGCCGAAGGUGGGAUAGAUGAUGGGUAGAGUAAUACAUAGUCCAUAAC